GCUCAGAACUUAAAGGAAUUGACGGGGCCGCACAAGCGGUGGAGUAUGUGGUUAAUUCGAUGCAACGCGAAGAACCUUACCUGGUCUUGACAUCCCGGAGACCCUUAGGAAACUAGGGGGUGCUUCCAUCUGGAAGAAUCUGGAGACAGGUGCUGCAUGGCUGUCGUCAGCUCGUGUCGUGAGAUGUUGGGUUAAGUCCCGCAACGAGCGCAACCCUUGCCUUUAGUUGCCAGCAGUUCGGCUGGGCACUCUAAAGGGACUGCCGGUGUUAAACCGGAGGAAGGUGGGGAUGACGUCAAGUCCUCAUGGCCUUUAUGACCAGGGCUACACACGUACUACAAUGGCCGAUACAAAGGGCAGCGACACUGCGAGGUGAAGCCAAUCCCGUAAAAUCGGUCUCAGUCCGGAUUGGAGUCUGCAACUCGACUCCAUGAAGUUGGAAUCGCUAGUAAUCGUGGAUCAGCAUGCCACGGUGAAUACGUUCCCGGGCCUU
Molecule: ribosomal RNA, 493 nt
Filed under: uncultured Desulfobulbus sp.
Lineage: Bacteria; Pseudomonadati; Thermodesulfobacteriota; Desulfobulbia; Desulfobulbales; Desulfobulbaceae
Description: bacterial SSU rRNA
Rfam family: Bacterial small subunit ribosomal RNA
Source: RNAcentral